Molecule: ribosomal RNA, 433 nt
Filed under: uncultured bacterium
Lineage: Bacteria
Description: partial 16S ribosomal RNA
Rfam family: Bacterial small subunit ribosomal RNA
Source: RNAcentral
AACGAACGCUGGCGGCAGGCCUAACACAUGCAAGUCGAGCGGACCCUUCGGGGUUAGCGGCGGACGGGUGAGUAACGCGUGGGAACGUGCCCUUUGCUUCGGAAUAGCCCUGGGAAACUGGGAGUAAUACCGGAUACGCCCUUUUGGGGAAAGAUUUAUCGGCGAAGGAUCGGCCCGCGUUGGAUUAGGUAGUUGGUGGGGUAAUGGCCUACCAAGCCGACGAUCCAUAGCUGGUUUGAGAGGAUGAUCAGCCACACUGGGACUGAGACACGGCCCAGACUCCUACGGGAGGCAGCAGUGGGGAAUCUUAGACAAUGGGGGAAACCCUGAUCUAGCCAUGCCGCGUGAGCGAUGAAGGCCUUAGGGUUGUAAAGCUCUUUCACCGGGGAAGAUAAUGACGGUACCAGCAGAAGAAGCCCCGGCUAACUCCGUG